AGGUGAUAUGAACCGUUAUAACCGGCGAUUUCCGAAUGGGGAAACCCAGUGUGAUUCGUCACACUAUCAUUAACUGAAUCCAUAGGUUAAUGAGGCGAACCGGGGGAACUGAAACAUCUAAGUACCCCGAGGAAAAGAAAUCAACCGAGAUUCCCCCAGUAGCGGCGAGCGAACGGGGAGCAGCCCAGAGCCUGAAUCAGUGUGUGUGUUAGUGGAAGCGUCUGGAAAGGCGCGCGAUACAGGGUGACAGCCCCGUACACAAAAAUGCACAUACUGUGAGCUCGAUGAGUAGGGCGGGACACGUGGUAUCCUGUCUGAAUAUGGGGGGACCAUCCUCCAAGGCUAAAUACUCCUGACUGACCGAUAGUGAACCAGUACCGUGAGGGAAAGGCGAAAAGAACCCCGGCGAGGGGAGUGAAAAAGAACCUGAAACCGUGUACGUACAAGCAGUGGGAGCACGCUUCGGCGUGUGACUGCGUACCUUUUGUAUAAUGGGUCAGCGACUUAUAUUCUGUAGCAAGGUUAACCGAAUAGGGGAGCCGAAGGGAAACCGAGUCUUAACUGGGCGUUAAGUUGCAGGGUAUAGACCCGAAACCCGGUGAUCUAGCCAUGGGCAGGUUGAAGGUUGGGUAACACUAACUGGAGGACCGAACCGACUAAUGUUGAAAAAUUAGCGGAUGACUUGUGGCUGGGGGUGAAAGGCCAAUCAAACCGGGAGAUAGCUGGUUCUCCCCGAAAGCUAUUUAGGUAGCGCCUCGUGAAUUCAUCUCCGGGGGUAGAGCACUGUUUCGGCAAGGGGGUCAUCCCGACUUACCAACCCGAUGCAAACUGCGAAUACCGGAGAAUGUUAUCACGGGAGACACACGGCGGGUGCUAACGUCCGUCGUGAAGAGGGAAACAACCCAGACCGCCAGCUAAGGUCCCAAAGUCAUGGUUAAGUGGGAAACGAUGUGGGAAGGCCCAGACAGCCAGGAUGUUGGCUUAGAAGCAGCCAUCAUUUAAAGAAAGCGUAAUAGCUCACUGGUCGAGUCGGCCUGCGCGGAAGAUGUAACGGGGCUAAACCAUGCACCGAAGCUGCGGCAGCGACACUAUGUGUUGUUGGGUAGGGGAGCGUUCUGUAAGCCUGCGAAGGUGUACUGUGAGGUAUGCUGGAGGUAUCAGAAGUGCGAAUGCUGACAUAAGUAACGAUAAAGCGGGUGAAAAGCCCGCUCGCCGGAAGACCAAGGGUUCCUGUCCAACGUUAAUCGGGGCAGGGUGAGUCGACCCCUAAGGCGAGGCCGAAAGGCGUAGUCGAUGGGAAACAGGUUAAUAUUCCUGUACUUGGUGUUACUGCGAAGGGGGGACGGAGAAGGCUAUGUUGGCCGGGCGACGGUUGUCCCGGUUUAAGCGUGUAGGCUGAUUUUCCAGGCAAAUCCGGAGAAUCAAGGCUGAGGCGUGAUGACGAGGCACUACGGUGCUGAAGCAACAAAUGCCCUGCUUCCAGGAAAAGCCUCUAAGCAUCAGGUAACAUCAAAUCGUACCCCAAACCGACACAGGUGGUCAGGUAGAGAAUACCAAGGCGCUUGAGAGAACUCGGGUGAAGGAACUAGGCAAAAUGGUGCCGUAACUUCGGGAGAAGGCACGCUGAUAUGUAGGUGAAGUCCCUCGCGGAUGGAGCUGAAAUCAGUCGAAGAUACCAGCUGGCUGCAACUGUUUAUUAAAAACACAGCACUGUGCAAACACGAAAGUGGACGUAUACGGUGUGACGCCUGCCCGGUGCCGGAAGGUUAAUUGAUGGGGUCAGCGCAAGCGAAGCUCUUGAUCGAAGCCCCGGUAAACGGCGGCCGUAACUAUAACGGUCCUAAGGUAGCGAAAUUCCUUGUCGGGUAAGUUCCGACCUGCACGAAUGGCGUAAUGAUGGCCAGGCUGUCUCCACCCGAGACUCAGUGAAAUUGAACUCGCUGUGAAGAUGCAGUGUACCCGCGGCAAGACGGAAAGACCCCGUGAACCUUUACUAUAGCUUGACACUGAACAUUGAGCCUUGAUGUGUAGGAUAGGUGGGAGGCUUUGAAGUGUGGACGCCAGUCUGCAUGGAGCCGGCCUUGAAAUACCACCCUUUAAUGUUUGAUGUUCUAACGUAGACCCGUGAUCCGGGUUGCGGACAGUGUCUGGUGGGUAGUUUGACUGGGGCGGUCUCCUCCUAAAGAGUAACGGAGGAGCACGAAGGUUGGCUAAUCCUGGUCGGACAUCAGGAGGUUAGUGCAAUGGCAUAAGCCAGCUUGACUGCGAGCGUGACGGCGCGAGCAGGUGCGAAAGCAGGUCAUAGUGAUCCGGUGGUUCUGAAUGGAAGGGCCAUCGCUCAACGGAUAAAAGGUACUCCGGGGAUAACAGGCUGAUACCGCCCAAGAGUUCAUAUCGACGGCGGUGUUUGGCACCUCGAUGUCGGCUCAUCACAUCCUGGGGCUGAAGUAGGUCCCAAGGGUAUGGCUGUUCGCCAUUUAAAGUGGUACGCGAGCUGGGUUUAGAACGUCGUGAGACAGUUCGGUCCCUAUCUGCCGUGGGCGCUGGAGAACUGAGGGGGGCUGCUCCUAGUACGAGAGGACCGGAGUGGACGCAUCACUGGUGUUCGGGUUGUCAUGCCAAUGGCACUGCCCGGUAGCUAAAUGCGGAAGAGAUAAGUGCUGAAAGCAUCUAAGCACGAAACUUGCCCCGAGAUGAGUUCUCCCUGACCCUUUAAGGGUCCUGAAGGAACGUUGAAGACGACGACGUUGAUAGGCCGGGUGUGUAAGCGCAGCGAUGCGUUGAGCUAACCGGUACUAAUGAACCGUGAGGCUUAACCUUACAACGCCGAAG
This 2832-nucleotide ribosomal RNA is filed under the name Escherichia coli. RNAcentral's name for it is "partial 23S ribosomal RNA". It matches the Rfam family "Bacterial large subunit ribosomal RNA". The record is from RNAcentral. Lineage: Bacteria; Pseudomonadati; Pseudomonadota; Gammaproteobacteria; Enterobacterales; Enterobacteriaceae.